UGGGGAAUAUUGGACAAUGGGGGCAACCCUGAUCCAGCAAUGCCGCGUGUGUGAAGAAGGUCUUCGGAUUGUAAAGCACUUUCGACGGGGACGAUGAUGACGGUACCCGUAGAGGAAGCCCCGGCUAACUUCGUGCCAGCAGCCGCGGUAAUACGAAGGGGGCUAGCGUUGCUCGGAAUGACUGGGCGUAAAGGGCGUGUAGGCGGUUUACACAGUCAGAUGUGAAAUCCCCGGGCUUAACCUGGGAGCUGCAUUUGAUACGUGUAGACUAGAGUGUGAGAGAGGGUUGUGGAAUUCCCAGUGUAGAGGUGAAAUUCGUAGAUAUUGGGAAGAACACCGGUGGCGAAGGCGGCAACCUGGCUCAUGACUGACGCUGAGGCGCGAAAGCGUGGGGAGCAAACAGGAUUAGGAUACCCUGGUAGUCCACGCUGUAAACGAUGUGUGCUAGAUGUUGGGU
This 457-nucleotide ribosomal RNA is filed under the name uncultured bacterium. RNAcentral's name for it is "partial 16S ribosomal RNA". It matches the Rfam family "Bacterial small subunit ribosomal RNA", at positions 355 to 828 of the family's 1533-position model. The record is from RNAcentral.